This 229-nucleotide long non-coding RNA is filed under the name Mytilus galloprovincialis (Mediterranean mussel). The record is from RNAcentral. Lineage: Eukaryota; Metazoa; Mollusca; Bivalvia; Mytilida; Mytilidae.
GUGAACAACUAAUAUUACAUUGACGAUUACGAAAUCGAAGAGAUUCUCAAUAUUUACAAAAUGGGUUUCAAGAUUACUCACAAUCGCAAAAUUAUCGUAGCAUGUUAAGUUGGAUUUUAGUGUUGUAUAAUCUAAAUUUUUAUUUAAAACUAAUGAUAAGGAUGAUAAAAAAUCCCCCGAAAAAAUACCAAGGUCAAUAAAUCAUUAAAUGAGAAGUUCCAACCUCCUG